GACGAACGCUGGCGGCGUGCUUAACACAUGCAAGUCGAACAGAAAGGCCCUGCUUUUGUGGGGUGCUCGAGUGGCGAACGGGUGAGUAACACGUGAGUAACCUGCCCUUGACUUUGGGAUAACUUCAGGAAACUGGGGCUAAUACCGGAUAGGAGCUCCUGCUGCAUGGUGGGGGUUGGAAAGUUUCGGCGGUUGGGGAUGGACUCGCGGCUUAUCAGCUUGUUGGUGGGGUAGUGGCUUACCAAUGCUUUGACGGGUAGCCGGCCUGGGAGGGUGACCGGCCACAUUGGGACUGAGAUACGGCCCAGACUCCUACGGGAGGCAGCAGUGGGGAAUAUUGCACAAUGGGAGGAAGCCUGAUGCAGCAACGCCGCGUGCGGGAUGACGGCCUUCGGGUUGUAAACCGCUUUAGCCUGUGACGAAGCGUGAGUGACGGUAAUGGGUAAAGAAGCACCGGCUAACUACGUG
RNAcentral lists this ribosomal RNA (468 nucleotides) under uncultured bacterium. RNAcentral describes it as "partial 16S ribosomal RNA". It matches the Rfam family "Bacterial small subunit ribosomal RNA", at positions 28 to 507 of the family's 1533-position model. The record is from RNAcentral.